AUGGUUAAGUUAGAAAGGGCGCACGGUGAAUGCCUUGGCACUAGGAGCCGAUGAAGGACGGGACUAACACCGAUAUGCUUCGGGGAGCUGUAAGUGAGCUUUGAUCCGGAGAUUUCCGAAUGGGGAAACCCACUGUUCGUAAUGGAACAGUAUCUUUAUCUGAAUACAUAGGAUAUUGAAGGCAGACCCGGGGAACUGAAACAUCUAAGUACCCGGAGGAAGAGAAAGCAAAUGCGAUUUCCUGAGUAGCGGCGAGCGAAACGGAAUUAGCCCAAACCAAGAGGCUUGCCUCUUGGGGUUGUAGGACACUCUAUACGGAGUUACAAAGGAACGAAGUAAAUGAAGCGACCUGGAAAGGUCCGUCGAAGAAGGUAACAACCCUGUAGUUGAAACUUCGUUCCCUCUUGAGUGGAUCCUGAGUACGGCGGAACACGUGAAAUUCCGUCGGAAGCUGGGAGGACCAUCUCCCAAGGCUAAAUACUACCUAGUGACCGAUAGUGAACCAGUACCGUGAGGGAAAGGUGAAAAGCACCCCGGAAGGGGAGUGAAAGAGAUCCUGAAACCGUGUGCCUACAAGUAGUCAGAGCCCGUUAACGGGUGAUGGCGUGCCUUUUGUAGAAUGAACCGGCGAGUUACGAUCCCAUGCAAGGUUAAGCUGAUAAGGCGGAGCCGUAGCGAAAGCGAGUCUGAAUAGGGCGUUUAGUAUGUGGUUGUAGACCCGAAACCAGGUGAUCUACCCAUGUCCAGGGUGAAGUUCAGGUAACACUGAAUGGAGGCCCGAACCCACGCACGUUGAAAAGUGCGGGGAUGAGGUGUGGGUAGCGGAGAAAUUCCAAUCGAACCUGGAGAUAGCUGGUUCUCUCCGAAAUAGCUUUAGGGCUAGCCUCAUGUUGUGAGAGUCUUGGAGGUAGAGCACUGAUUGGACUAGGGGCCCCCAACGGGUUACCGAAUUCAGUCAAACUCCGAAUGCCAAAGACUUAUCCAUGGGAGUCAGACUGCGAGUGAUAAGAUCCGUAGUCAAAAGGGAAACAGCCCAGACCACCAGCUAAGGUCCCCAAGUAUACGUUAAGUGGAAAAGGAUGUGGAGUUGCUUAGACAACCAGGAUGUUGGCUUAGAAGCAGCCACCAUUUAAAGAGUGCGUAAUAGCUCACUGGUCGAGUGACUCUGCGCCGAAAAUGUACCGGGGCUAAACGUAUCACCGAAGCUGUGGAUUGACAUCUUUGAUGUCAGUGGUAGGAGAGCGUUCUAAGUGCAGCGAAGUCAGACCGUAAGGACUGGUGGAGCGCUUAGAAGUGAGAAUGCCGGUAUGAGUAGCGAAAGACAAGUGAGAAUCUUGUCCACCGAAUGCCUAAGGUUUCCUGAGGAAGGCUCGUCCGCUCAGGGUUAGUCGGGACCUAAGCCGAGGCUGAAAAGCGUAGGCGAUGGCCAACAGGUUGAUAUUCCUGUACCACCUCCCCGCCGUUUGAGUAAUGGGGGGACGCAGUAGGAUAGGGUAAGCGCGCUGCUGGAUAUGCGCGUUCAAGCAGUUAGGCUGAUGAGUAGGCAAAUCCGCUCAUCAUGAAGGCUGAGCUGUGAUGACGAGGGAAUUAUAGUACCGAAGUUCCUGAUUCCACACUGCCAAGAAAAGCCUCUAGCGAGGCGGGAGGUGCCCGUACCGCAAACCGACACAGGUAGGCGAGGAGAGAAUCCUAAGGUGAUCGAGAGAACUCUCGUUAAGGAACUCGGCAAAAUGACCCCGUAACUUCGGGAGAAGGGGUGCUCUGGUAGGGUGUAUAGCCCGAGAGAGCCGCAGUGAAUAGGCCCAGGCGACUGUUUAGCAAAAACACAGGUCUCUGCGAAGCCGCAAGGCGAAGUAUAGGGGCUGACGCCUGCCCGGUGCUGGAAGGUUAAGAGGAGGGGUUAUCCUUCGGGAGAAGCUCUGAAUCGAAGCCCCAGUAAACGGCGGCCGUAACUAUAACGGUCCUAAGGUAGCGAAAUUCCUUGUCGGGUAAGUUCCGACCCGCACGAAAGGCGUAACGAUCUGGGCACUGUCUCAACGAGAGACUCGGUGAAAUUAUAGUACCUGUGAAGAUGCAGGUUACCCGCGACAGGACGGAAAGACCCCGUGGAGCUUUACUGUAGCCUGAUAUUGAAUUUUGGUACAGCUUGUACAGGAUAGGUAGGAGCCUGAGAAGCCGGAGCGCUAGCUUCGGUGGAGGCGUCGGUGGGAUACUACCCUGGCUGUAUUGAAAUUCUAACCCGCGGCCCUGAUCGGGCCGGGAGACAGUGUCAGGUGGGCAGUUUGACUGGGGCGGUCGCCUCCUAAAAUGUAACGGAGGCGCCCAAAGGUUCCCUCAGAAUGGUUGGAAAUCAUUCGUAGAGUGUAAAGGCACAAGGGAGCUUGACUGCGAGACCUACAAGUCGAGCAGGGACGAAAGUCGGGCUUAGUGAUCCGGUGGUUCCGCAUGGAAGGGCCAUCGCUCAACGGAUAAAAGCUACCCCGGGGAUAACAGGCUUAUCUCCCCCAAGAGUCCACAUCGACGGGGAGGUUUGGCACCUCGAUGUCGGCUCAUCGCAUCCUGGGGCUGUAGUCGGUCCCAAGGGUUGGGCUGUUCGCCCAUUAAAGCGGUACGCGAGCUGGGUUCAGAACGUCGUGAGACAGUUCGGUCCCUAUCCGUCGUGGGCGUAGGAAAUUUGAGAGGAGCUGUCCUUAGUACGAGAGGACCGGGAUGGACACACCGCUGGUGUACCAGUUGUCUUGCCAAAGGCAUCGCUGGGUAGCUAUGUGUGGACGGGAUAAGUGCUGAAAGCAUCUAAGCAUGAAGCCCCCCUCAAGAUGAGAUUUCCCAUAGCGCAAGCUAGUAAGAUCCCUGAAAGAUGAUCAGGUUGAUAGGUCAGAGGUGGAAGCGUGGCGACAUGUGUAGCUGACUGAUACUAAUCGAUCGAGGACUUAACCAAAC
RNAcentral lists this ribosomal RNA (2940 nucleotides) under Priestia megaterium NCT-2. RNAcentral describes it as "bacterial LSU rRNA". It matches the Rfam family "Bacterial large subunit ribosomal RNA". Lineage: Bacteria; Bacillati; Bacillota; Bacilli; Caryophanales; Bacillaceae. The record is from RNAcentral.